CGCUGCAAAACCUAGGGC
Molecule: small nuclear RNA, 18 nt
Filed under: Arabidopsis thaliana (thale cress)
Lineage: Eukaryota; Viridiplantae; Streptophyta; Magnoliopsida; Brassicales; Brassicaceae
Description: snRNA_17987
Source: RNAcentral